ACGAACGCUGGCGGCAUGCCUAACACAUGCAAGUCGCACGAGACCUUCGGGUCUAGUGGCGCACGGGUGCGUAACGCGUGGGAACCUGCCCUUAGGUUCGGAAUAACUCCCCGAAAGGGGUGCUAAUACCGGAUAAUGUCUUCGGACCAAAGAUUUAUCGCCUUUGGAUGGGCCCGCGUUGGAUUAGCUAGUUGGUAGGGUAAAAGCCUACCAAGGCGACGAUCCAUAGCUGGUCUGAGAGGAUGAUCAGCCACACUGGGACUGAGACACGGCCCAGACUCCUACGGGAAGCAGCAGUGGGGAAUAUUGGACAAUGGGCGAAAGCCUGAUCCAGCAAUGCCGCGUGAGUGAUGAAGGCCUUAGGGUUGUAAAGCUCUUUUACCCGGGAUGAUAAUGACAGUACCGGGAGAAUAAGCUCCGGCUAACUCCGUG
Molecule: ribosomal RNA, 432 nt
Filed under: uncultured bacterium
Lineage: Bacteria
Description: partial 16S ribosomal RNA
Rfam family: Bacterial small subunit ribosomal RNA
Source: RNAcentral